RNAcentral lists this ribosomal RNA (495 nucleotides) under uncultured Glomeromycotina. RNAcentral's name for it is "partial small subunit ribosomal RNA". It matches the Rfam family "Eukaryotic small subunit ribosomal RNA", at positions 591 to 1092 of the family's 1831-position model. Lineage: Eukaryota; Fungi; Glomeromycota. The record is from RNAcentral.
CCAAUAGCGUAUAUUAAAGUUGUUGUGGUUAAAAAGCUCGUAGUUGAACCUUGGGCCUGGCUGGCCGGUCCGCCUCACCGCGUGUACUGGUCCGGCCGGGCCUUUCCCGCUGUGGAACCUCAUGCCCUUCACUGGGUGUGACGGGGAAGCAGGACUUUUACUGUGAAAAAAUUAGAGUGUUCCAAGCAGGCCUAUGCUCGAAUACAUUAGCAUGGAAUAAUAAAAUAGGACGGGCGGUUCUAUUUUGUUGGUUUCUAGGACCGCCGUAAUGAUUAAUGGGGACAGUCGGGGGCAUCAGUAUUCAAUUGUCAGAGGUGAAAUUCUUGGAUUUAUUGAAGACUAACUACUGCGAAAGCAUUUGCCAAGGAUGUUUUCAUUAAUCAGGAACGAAAGUUAGGGGAUCGAAGACGAUCAGAUACCGUCGUAGUCUUAACCAUAAACUAUGCCGACUAGGGAUCGGACGAUGUUAUUUUUUGACUCGUUCGGCACCUUACG